This 328-nucleotide ribosomal RNA is filed under the name uncultured eukaryote. Its description in RNAcentral is "partial 18S ribosomal RNA". It matches the Rfam family "Eukaryotic small subunit ribosomal RNA", at positions 1470 to 1796 of the family's 1831-position model. The record is from RNAcentral.
CCCUUCGAUGUUCUGGGCCGCACGCGCGUUACACUGAUGCAUUCAACGAGCUUAUAACCUUGGCCGAGAGGCCUGGGCAAUCUUGUUAACGUGCAUCGUGAUAGGGAUAGAUUAUUGAAAUUAUUAAUCUUGAACGAGGAAUUCCUAGUAAACGCAGAUCAUCAAUCUGCAUUGAUUACGUCCCUGCCCUUUGUACACACCGCCCGUCGCACCUACCGAUUGGAUGGUCCGGUGAAGCCUCGGGAUUGUGGUUCUUGCCGCUUUAUUGUGGCGUGACCGCGAGAACUUGUCUAAACCUUAUCAUCUAGAGGAAGGUGAAGUCGUAACA